Molecule: small nucleolar RNA, 133 nt
Organism: Rattus norvegicus (Norway rat)
Lineage: Eukaryota; Metazoa; Chordata; Mammalia; Rodentia; Muridae
Product: small nucleolar RNA SNORA17
Source: Ensembl
UUUGCCCCUAGAGGUAUUGCCAGUGUGGCUGCUGUGUCACAGGUGCGUCAGUAGGUGUCACAAAGGAGAAAGUAUCUAUGAACACUUGUUUUUUAUUUUUAAUUUUAAUAUAUAUAUUUUAAAUUUUUAAAAU